CCGUAGCACAUACCCUGCCCAGUGUCCAUCACCCAGCCACCCCGUCCCUCCCACCCCCCUCCCCUCCAGCAACCCUCCGUUUGCUUCCUGAGAUUAAGAGUCUCUUAUGGUUUGUCUCCCUCUCUGAUUUCGUCUUGUUUCAUCUUUCCCUCCCUUCCCCUAUGAUCCUCUGUCUUGUUUCUCAAAUUCUACAUAUCAGUGAGAUCAUAUGAUAAUUGUCUUUCUCUGAUUGACUUAUUUUGCUUAGCGUAAUACCUUCUGGUUCCAUCCAUGUCAUUGCAAAUGGCAAGAUUUCAUUUUUUGAUGGCUGUAUAUACCACAGCUUCUUUAUCCAUUCAUCUGUUGAUGGACAUCUGGGCUCUUUCCAUAGUUUGGCUACGGUGGACGUUGCUGCUAUAAACAUCGGGGAGCAGGUGCAUCAGGGAUGGUUCUUGUAGCUAUCCAAGGGGUUGCGACUGAAUGAUGAGGACAUAGCCAUGGAAAGUCCUUGACUUUUAAAACAGAAGGAAGAAUGUAUGCAAAGGCCUCGAAAUACACGCACAUUGCUCCAGGUACCGAACCAUACCCUGCUUAUCUCUGUUCCUGCCACAGCACAUUGCUUAUCAGGAGCUGCACACCUUGGGAGAUGGGAGAGAUGCGGAUGAGAGGGUUAAUGUGUCCAUACACCUCGAGAAUCACAGCCGUUCAGGGGCCGCGGUGCGUGAGCGAGCUCGUGCGCGCGCGCGCUUCCUCCUGCAGAUGAGAGAUGCCACAGCCCGGGGUCCGGACUCUCAGUGUCCCCGCAGGGGUGCACAGCAUUCACAAUAUCUGGGCCCAGAGGCCGGAAAGGAGAGGAGGGCAGCCCGGCGGGUCCACGUAGUGUGGGCAGGACGGAGAGUUGCAGCGGUGGGGGCAGAGGUCUGACCUCCUCCGUGGGGCCGGGCAGCCCUGCUUCGUGAAAGCCAGCAACAUCUUCUUAGUUCUUUUCUCCUGUACUUACUUAUUCAUCCUCCCAGAACUUUCCUGUACAGUAAGAGAACAGCGAGGCAGAGUACAAGAAAGUAGAGCUCAGUUCAUCUGAUGAUCUGCCCACACUCGCUGACUCACUCAUAAUGGCCCCUCAGAUGUCAGUUUCUUGCUAAGACAUUUGGAAAAAUUUCUGCUUCUGAAUCACAAGCAAACACUAUAAUUCAACAAUCUUCUCUGAGUUAUUCAAGGAACUUCAAUGCACUCAGAAGUGGAAGGAUCAGGGGCGGAUGAAAUCAAUGAAAUCUCUGAGUACUCUGUUUUUCUCCUAAUUACAUUUCAUUUGCCCGGCAGAGGUGGGGGGAGCUCCAUCUGACCACUGAGGGGCAUCUCCUGGGGGAAGUCUGGAAGCAGCCGAUUUGGGGUUUCUGGGUGACACUUGGUUUUUCUUAUCAUCUUCGUUCUGUUCCCAUAAUAAAGCCAAGUGUCAUGCAGGAAAAGGC
Molecule: long non-coding RNA, 1448 nt
Filed under: Zalophus californianus (California sea lion)
Lineage: Eukaryota; Metazoa; Chordata; Mammalia; Carnivora; Otariidae
Description: lncRNA (ENSZCAG00015008795.1)
Source: RNAcentral